ACGCGACCCCAGGUCAGGCGGGACCACCCGCUGAGUUUAAGCAUAUCAAUAAGCGGAAGAA
This 61-nucleotide ribosomal RNA is filed under the name Polygala sibirica. RNAcentral's name for it is "partial 26S ribosomal RNA". The record is from RNAcentral. Lineage: Eukaryota; Viridiplantae; Streptophyta; Magnoliopsida; Fabales; Polygalaceae.